Molecule: long non-coding RNA, 1276 nt
Filed under: Felis catus (domestic cat)
Lineage: Eukaryota; Metazoa; Chordata; Mammalia; Carnivora; Felidae
Description: lncRNA (ENSFCAG00000042239.2)
Source: RNAcentral
AUGCAGGGCCCUUGCCCGGGCAGAGGUUUGCGGGCCAGGCUGCGCGUCCGCGUCGGGACCCACAGACUCGCGCAGCUCCGAGAACCCGCCCGCAGGCAGCGGCUCCUUGCUGUUUCACCGGCAAGGAUCCGGGAGUUCCCUGCUUCACUCCACUGGCCCCAUAUUGUGCGAGAGCCACCCACCAGACGAGAUUUACUGAGGAUGCAGAUCCGUUCCAGGGAGGACGCCAUAGACGCGAUCAAGUUGAACAAAAAACAGUCUCCACUUGAGCAGUUAAUAACUCGUUGGAACUAACGAGUUAAUUGGGGCUGGGACAAAAAACUAUAACAUCAGGAUUGAACAGCUUGUUAAAGAAACACCACCCCCUUGCAGCCAGACGCCAAUGUUUACGCAGUGAACCAUGUCUCUCGCAAGGAUGGAGUUCUGUCUAUGCCUCUCGGGAAGUCCCUGCUCCAUGGAGGGAAUCACGGUGUGUGUCCUCCGUAUGCAGAGAUGCGUCCUGUCAUUGUAAAGCUGUGGGAAGUGUCCAGAAGCAGGGAGCUGCCGCCCCGGCCCUUAAAGAAGAGGUGGGUGUCCCGGGAAGAGGGAGGGUGGGCAUUUGGGGGCUCCCCACAGAUUGUGGGUGUUUGCUCACAGAAGCAGUCGCGGCACUGACCCGGGGGAAGGCCCAUGUGGAAGCCACACUGGGAAUCACCGCCGGGGCCCGUCCCCCCUGAAGUGUCCCGGCAGCCUGUCCCCGAGGGCCCCAUAAAGUCAGCCGGUAUGGCACGUAUGAAAAUAGCAAGUCUCGUGUGGUUUUUAGGAGAACUGCAAAGAAAUGUGUUUCUCUUAAUCACCCACAAAUUAAAACCCAAGGAGCCAAUUUGUUAUCUGAUGAAGAAAGAGCUACAGCUGCUGGGUGUUGGAGGGUCCCUUUAGAGGAAGCCUGAUCUGGACAUGCUCUGUCUCUCCGUGUGUCUAUCUCUCUGUCUCUGUCUCUCUCUAUCUCUGCAUCUGUGUCUCUCUGUCUGUCUCUGUCUCUCCAUGUGUGUGUCUGUCUCUCCAUGUGUCUUUCUGUGCCGUAUCUCUCCUACCCUCCUUUCCUCCCUCCCUCAGGGUCCUGGGUGCUGGCAUGGAGUUUACUCUGCCCUGGACGUUGGGAGUAGCUGAGUGAGGUGUCUCUCCAGUGAAUUCCAGGGGGCAGGAGCAGGUGUCCGAGCAGCCACACAGGGGGGCCAGAUUGGCAGGCACCGAGCCUGGAAGGGCCAGACAGACCCAGCCCCCAGUGCAAGACCCC